AGCGAACGCUGGCGGCAGGCUUAACACAUGCAAGUCGAGCGGACCUUUCGGGGUCAGCGGCGGACGGGUGAGUAACGCGUGGAAACGUGCCUUCCGGUUCGGAAUAACCCUGGGAAACUAGGGCUAAUACCGGAUACGCCCUUAUGGGGAAAGGUUUACUGCCGGAAGAUCGGCCCGCGUCUGAUUAGCUAGUUGGUGGGGUAACGGCCUACCAAGGCGACGAUCAGUAGCUGGUCUGAGAGGAUGAUCAGCCACACUGGGACUGAGACACGGCCCAGACUCCUACGGGAGGCAGCAGUGGGGAAUAUUGGACAAUGGGCGCAAGCCUGAUCCAGCCAUGCCGCGUGAGUGAUGAAGGCCUUAGGGUUGUAAAGCUCUUUUAUCCGGGACGAUAAUGACGGUACCGGAGGAAUAAGCCCCGGCUAACUUCGUG
RNAcentral lists this ribosomal RNA (433 nucleotides) under uncultured bacterium. RNAcentral describes it as "partial 16S ribosomal RNA". It matches the Rfam family "Bacterial small subunit ribosomal RNA", at positions 29 to 507 of the family's 1533-position model. The record is from RNAcentral.